AAUAGAUACCCUGGUAGUCCACGCCGUAAACGAUGAGUGCUAAGUGUUAGAGGGUUUCCGCCCUUUAGUGCUGCAGCUAACGCAUUAAGCACUCCGCCUGGGGAGUACGGUCGCAAGACUGAAACUCAAAGGAAUUGACGGGGGCCCGCACAAGCGGUGGAGCAUGUGGUUUAAUUCGAAGCAACGCGAAGAACCUUACCAGGUCUUGACAUCCUCUGACAACUCUAGAGAUAGAGCAUUCCCCUUCGGGGGACAGAGUGACAGGUGGUGCAUGGUUGUCGUCAGCUCGUGUCGUGAGAUGUUGGGUUAAGUCCCGCAACGAGCGCAACCCUUGAUCUUAGUUGCCAGCAUUAAGUUGGGCACUCUAAGGUGACUGCCGGUGACAAACCGGAGGAAGGUGGGGAUGACGUCAAAUCAUCAUGCCCCUUAUGACCUGGGCUACACACGUGCUACAAUGGAUGGUACAAAGGGCUGCAAGACCGCGAGGUCAAGCCAAUCCCAUAAAACCAUUCUCAGUUCGGAUUGU
This 526-nucleotide ribosomal RNA is filed under the name uncultured bacterium. RNAcentral describes it as "bacterial SSU rRNA". It matches the Rfam family "Bacterial small subunit ribosomal RNA", at positions 777 to 1301 of the family's 1533-position model. The record is from RNAcentral.